Molecule: transfer RNA, 75 nt
Filed under: Candidatus Campbelliibacteriota bacterium
Lineage: Bacteria; Candidatus Campbelliibacteriota
Description: Candidatus Campbellbacteria bacterium tRNA-Arg
Rfam family: tRNA
About the family: Transfer RNA (tRNA) molecules are approximately 80 nucleotides in length. Their secondary structure includes four short double-helical elements and three loops (D, anti-codon, and T loops). Further hydrogen bonds mediate the characteristic L-shaped molecular structure. tRNAs have two regions of fundamental functional importance: the anti-codon, which is responsible for specific mRNA codon recognition, and the 3' end, to which the tRNAs corresponding amino acid is attached (by aminoacyl-tRNA synthetases). tRNAs cope with the degeneracy of the genetic code in two manners: having more than one tRNA (with a specific anti-codon) for a particular amino acid; and 'wobble' base-pairing, i.e. permitting non-standard base-pairing at the 3rd anti-codon position.
Source: RNAcentral
GCUUUCGUGGUGAAAUGGAUAUCACAGCGGUCUUCGAAACCGCUUUUGGGGGUUCGAAUCCCUCCGGAAGCACAA